ACUAAAUUCUAUUUGGUGAAAAUUUUUAUGAUAUUUUUUAUAUAAUAUAUAUUUUUUUACAAUAUGAAGUAACAAAAUUUGCAUUGCAUUUUGAGGUAAUCACCGUAACCUAUAUUUUAUUUCAGCAAAACAAAUAUAUAAUUUUUAUUUCUAUAACUUCUGUUUGUUUUUUUUCUUUUUUUCUUCAGCAAAACAAAUUUAUAAUUCUUAUUUCUAUAACUUCUAUAUCUGUUUUUUUUUUUUUUUUUGGUCAAUUAUGUCUACAAAAAAAUUUGAAUCUGGGCAUGAAAAAAGAAAAAAAAAAAUCUGAAUUGGAUUAGAAAUAGAGAUUGAAUCUGAACCCAUCUGUGUACUGUAAUUAUAUUAAUUCUAUUUAUUUAUUUAUUCAUUAUUUGUUUUUAAAAAUUCAGCCCUACAUGAGCGUAUCUAAGUUUCUAACCCUAGGUUUCCUAACAUAGGGUCUGUGCUGUCUCUCGGCUCUCUCUUCCUCAGUUCCUCCAGACGAACCCAUCUGAAAUCUUGCAUAUCUCCAUGAUACCAUCACUCAUCAUCAGUCCAUAGUCCAUCGUUCCCUACAAUAAAUCGAAAAAACGACGACCUCUUCGUCGGGAUCGACCUCUUUUCCGGAUUUGGGCGUAAUUUUUUUGGAUGGAGGGAAGAGACUGCACCGAAGAAGGAGGGAAGUCUGAAUCUGCAUUUUAUCUUGAUGAGCGUGUCAUCCCUAGUUUUCUUUCAAGGCUUCCAACCCGAGCACGGCUGAUUUGCCGUCAAGUUUGCAAAGGAGUCUUACCUAUAUUCUUCCAGUUACCCAUUUCAAAGGUGUAGAGCUCCGCUAUUGAGUUCUUAGAUGUACUUAGUUGCGCAAUCUUUUUUUAUCCUAGAAUCUUGAAUGAAAGCUGAUCAGGGCUAUAACCGAAACCAUAUGCGGAUUUCGGAACUCUGGGACCGCAAAAAAUUCGCCUACAAGAGGGUUCAACACCCAACUCCGGGAUGUUGUAAGGUAUUCAAAACAUACUAGAGUUGAUGAACCAAUUAAAUUGAGUUUUGAAUACAAUUUACCGAAGAGAUGCAUGCUUUUCGUGGGUUCGGCAAAUGGAUUAAUAUGUUUUUAGACUAUAAAAUUGAUAAACUUUACAUAUGUAACCCUCUCGAAAGCUAAUUUUUUGCGGUCCCAGUUCAUUUCACAAUCGAAAUCCGCAUAUGGUUUCGGUUAUAGACGUGAUCAGCUUUCAUUCAACAUUUUAAGGAUAAAAAAAGAUUGCGCAACUAAGUCUAGUCCAUCUACGAACGGAGCUCUACACUUUUGGAAUGGUUACUGUAAGAAUAUAGAUAAGGUUCUCUUUCCACCAGACAGAACAGUAACUGUGGUGCUAGUGUGCAUGGCAAUCUACACUGGAUAAUUGAAGAUGCUAGAAUCAGUGAUGUUAUAUGACCCUUCCAUAAAGAAUAUGGAGUGAACAGCUCAUGGACUCAAGAUUACAAAAUCCAUUGACCCAUCCUUUCCCGUAAGCUGCGGCCUUUAGAUCUUCAACCAAUCACAAUGUGGAGGGAUGAAAUUUUGUUUUCUCAUAUCUUCCAAUUCGACAACUAAUGUUUUUGUUGAGGUCAACACAACCGGUAUGCAUUCAGGUUUUCAAAGAUUUCCAAUUCGACAACUAAUGUUUUUGUUGAGGUCAACACAACCAGUAUGCAUUCAGGUUUUCAAAGAUUUGAAUACGUUUUGUCAUUUCUCUCACUCAAGGAGCUCCUAGGAGAUGAAUCUCAAAAAGUUGGGAUCUUUUCUGUGAGGAAGAAGGUGAUUCAAGUUUUAUUAAUCGAGUGCAUAUAUGCCACUUUCAUGAUUCCAUCGGUAGUGGGAACCUAAACUUCUUUUCUUGCAGAAAAGAAGACUUCAAGAUCUUUUUUAUGAUUGGAAAGGAAAGAGAUUGAAAUACAGUAGCAGGAAUUGAAAGGAUAAUUAAAACGCGUAGUUUGUGUGUUGAACAAAGUUUACAAUGCACAUAAGUUACAAGUAUGCCCUAUUUAUAAAACUAUUGGAUGACAAUUCUAGCAGUAGGUAUCAUCAACCGCUGUGAGCUUCCAUGUGGAACGGUUGGAAUUCUCGCCAAGUGUCUUAUGUCUUCCUUGAUCUUCUCAUUGUGUUUAAGACCAUGUUUCCCUCUGUUAAGGGGGUGGAGCUACUGAAGGACUAAUCUGGGAUGUAGCCCAAAGUCUCAAAAAAAAAAAAAAAAAAAAAAUUAUUACUACUGUACGUAUGCAAUAUUGCUCUUCCUUUUAGUCCAGUCAAUAUGUAAUACUAUUCUUCCUCUUAACCUAGUUCACUUUGCAAUUCUGUAUCUGUUUUGCAACUUUUACAAAGUGGUGUUAAGAGCUUGAAUCAUGCAACAUGUUCUUUGCCCUUCCCUGAUAUGCAGCUAGAAGUUCCCAUGUUUUUAAUGGGCAUCUCUCUUUCUUAGGCAAUCCUUCAUCAUUUGUUGGUUUUAGGCAAGCCUUCCAUUAAUCUCCUAAAGGAUAAUAUGUUGAUCCUGAUUUAUUUUAUCUCUGGACAACAUUAUUCUUUUUUAUUUUUGAUUGACUAGUCAAAAUUAUGACAUAUUUGCAAUGAGAAUGGUGUUGGGCCUCACAUGAACAAUUAAAGGUCGUAGAAAACAAAUUCGUUCACAUGUCAUGAACAAUUAAAAGCUGUAAAAAGUAGAUUCCUUCACGUCAUAAACAACUAAAAGUUAUUUUAUUUUCUGUAUAAAUUCUGAUGAUCUGUAAACAAUAGGACAUUUGAAGUUUCUUUGUUUUCUCUCUCUCUUUGUAUUCUUCUCUCUUUAGCUUUCAUUAUUAUUUGCAUGAGAGUUGAAAAGUACUCUCAAAAGUGGAGAAGACAAUGGACAACCUUGUUUAACCCCUCCCAGUUUAGAAUAAACAAGCAGGAACUCCAUUGACAAAUUGUGCAUCAAUUUCAAUAGAAAAUUCAAGGAGACGGAAUCACAGGCCGCCUUCAAAUAUGCUUUCAAAGGGCUUUCAAAUAGCGGUACAAGGCUCUACUUCUCAAAAGAAAGUCAGUUCGAACCUUAAUGGAGGCAGUGUGUGUGACUCCCAA
Long non-coding RNA from Cornus florida, 3091 nucleotides. RefSeq lists it as uncharacterized. NCBI's taxonomy places the organism in Eukaryota, Viridiplantae, Streptophyta, Magnoliopsida, Cornales, Cornaceae. The record is from RefSeq and is a predicted model, not a curated record. The transcript is spliced from 2 exons.